RNAcentral lists this ribosomal RNA (2533 nucleotides) under Aureobasidium melanogenum. RNAcentral describes it as "bacterial LSU rRNA". The stretch from base 256 to 2533 matches the Rfam family "Bacterial large subunit ribosomal RNA", at positions 1 to 2389 of the family's 2925-position model. The record is from RNAcentral. Lineage: Eukaryota; Fungi; Ascomycota; Dothideomycetes; Dothideales; Saccotheciaceae.
AGAAUUGGCUGAGUGGUCUAUAGCGAUAAGCUUGAAACUUAUUUUAGUACAACCUACUAACAUCCGUUCGAAUCGGAUAUUCUCUGAAUAAUAUAUACGGGCCAGGGCCGGGUUGGUUAGGCACCUCAUUUGGGUUGAGGAGUAGUUAUGUUCGAAUCAUAAUGACCCGAAAUAACGAAAUGACGUUUGUAAAUUACAAUAGUAAUGUAUUAGAUAUGUAAUGUAAAAUUUCAUCAUAAGCUAUUUGUUUAUGAUGGCAAGUAUAUAAAGAAACUAUUAGGAAUAUCUAGCUAUAUAUCAAAAAGAGUUUUUUAACUAGUACAUCGAUGAGAGUCGAUGAACUUGAACUUUUGGAAAAAUCCUAUAAAUAAACGAAGUGAAUUGAAAUAUCUUAUUAGCUUCAGGAAUAGAAAUCAAACGAGAUUCUAUGAUUAGUGUGAAUGAAAGUAGAAAAGCCUAAAAGUAAAAUGGAUUAAAAUCUGUUUGAAUAAAGGGGAACCUUCCUCUAAGGCUAAAUAUGAUAUAUAAGCGACAGUGAACUAGUACCGAGAGGGAAAGAUUUGAAAUAGUAGUUUUAUAAGCAGCUCAAGUAAAGUUUAAAUAACAAAUGAGAGCGUACCUUUUGCAUAAUGGGUCAGCAAGUUAAUAUUAGAUGCGAGAAAAGCAUUUUUUCAUAUGUGUGAAAAAAGUAAGUCUUAUUCCUAGAUAAACCGAUUAUUAAAUAAUGAAUUAGUAUCUAAAAUUAGACCCGAAGCCUGGUGAUCUUACCAUGAUCAGGGUUAUAAAAGCCCGAACGGGUUAUCGUUGUAAAGAUAUCCGAAGAAUUGUGGUAAGUUAGUGAAAGACAAUACUGACCAGGAUAGCUGGUUUUCCGCGAAACCUAUAUAAGUAGGUAAUUCAAAUAACAUCAUAGCAGGUACAGAAUUGUGAUCUCAGACAAAUGGUAUUUAACGCUUCGCGCUAAAUACAUUUGUAUAUAUCGGGGGGUCGUGAAGACUUUAUCGGUGAGAAUUUGCUCUCGGAAGGGCAAUGAUGAAUAUUGAAUAAUCGGACAUAGUACGAUAAGGUUGUAUGUCCAAAGGGAAACAGCCCAGAACAAGUGUUUAAGGUUCCAAAAUUAUUGUUAAGUGAAAUUAAGGAAGUUUUUUUCAAAUACAACCAGGAAAUAGGCUUAGAAGCGGCCAUUUUUUAAAGACCUCGUAACAGAGCACUGGUUCAAUUAAUAAGUUAAAAGCACCGAAAAUUUAACGGAUCUAAACAAUAUACCGACACCUUGUCCAUAAGUAUUAAUAAAAUUAUAAUUGUAUUUAUGGGGUAGCGGAACGUUGGGCAAAUCAAAGAUAUAAUCUUUUUAAGAUUAUAUAAUUAUGGGCUUUUGUCUGAACACUUUUCGAGAUUCGGCCGGAAACGGAGGAAUCAAGAGGGUAAGUAAGCUAGUCCAUCGACCUUAGGUAGAACUUCUACCUUUGGCAGAUGAUAACCCAAGUGAGAAUGCUGACAUGAGUAACGAAAAAGGGAAUAAUUACCCCCUCGCCUUAAGCUUAUGGUAUUUAUAUAAAGUAACGGCCUCUAAGUUUAUAGACCUGCCCUAAAGGACUAAACGAUGAGAAAAGCUUUUAUGCAGAAUUAACCCGCGGUAGAGUACCGUUGGUUCUGGAAAAAUCUGCAAAUUAUCGAAACCGUACCUAGAUACUACCCCUGUCCAAGUAAGCUAGUAGAGUAUACGAAGGCGUUUGAGCUAACAAUCAUUAAGGAACUCGGCAAAAUGACACCGUAACUUCGGGAUAAGGUGUGCCAUUCUUCCAUCGCCCGGCUUCCGGGCGAUGGUUAAGAAUAGGAGGCAUAGAAUGGUGUUGUACGACUGUUUAAUUAAAACAAAGCACUUUGCGUAAGAUGACAAAUCAAAGUAUUGAGUGUGAAUUCUGCCCAAUGUUGGCUGGUUAACGGAUUUACUUAGCUGACUAAAAUAAGCUAGGAUUUGAAGGAACCCCCAAUCAAUGGCGGCCUUACCGAUGAGGGUCCUAAGGUAGCGGAAUACCUUGGCCGUUAAAUGCGGUCUUGCAUGAAUGAUUUAACGAUACAACAGCUGUCUCAAUGAUUGGCUCAGUGAAAUUGGAAUAACUGUGCAGAUACAGUUUACCUCUAGUUAGACGAGAAGACCCUAUGCAGCUUUACUGUUGCUAGUUAUUGGAUAUGAUCAAACGAGUUGUAGUGUAUAAGGUAGUUGGUGAGAUACAAUUGAAACACCUUUACUUAGUUUAUCAUAUCAGUAGAAUACCGCGAAAGCUUUACAAACUACUUCGACCAAUGAAAAUUGGUCGAUGGAAGAGUAAGUGAGUAGGUAAAAUCUACAUUACUUAUCCAAAAAGGAAGAGGGGUUUAAUGGUUUUUACCAUUUAACCCGGGAAACAGUUGCUAGUAGACAGUUUAUGCGGGGCACAGAUCCCAUAAAAAGUACCUGGGUGUAUCCAAAGUUAAUUUUGUAAAUUUACUCGGUUUCGCAAUAAAACUGCGUUACCGAGUAAUUAAACAU